This 2325-nucleotide non-coding RNA is filed under the name Adenomera sp. P. RNAcentral's name for it is "partial large subunit ribosomal RNA". The stretch from base 1 to 895 matches the Rfam family "Bacterial small subunit ribosomal RNA". Lineage: Eukaryota; Metazoa; Chordata; Amphibia; Anura; Leptodactylidae. The record is from RNAcentral.
UCAAUUUUUACUUAAUUUAUACAUGCAAGUAUCCGCACCCCUGUGAAAACGCCCUUUAAUUCCCCCUAGGAAUAAGGAGCUGGUAUCAGGCACAUUUCUAUUACCCAAAACACCUAGCUACGCCACACCCACAAGGGACCUCAGCAGUAAUCAACAUUGAACAUCAGCGACAGCUUGAUUCAGUCAAAGUAAACAGAGCCGGCUAAUCUGGUGCCAGCCGCCGCGGUUAUACCAUAAGGCUCAAAUUGAUUCCAAUCGGCGUAAAGAGUGAUUUAAGAACUCCACUAUUGGCGUUAAAUUUGUACUAAGCUGUGACACGCUUGUCCCUUAGAAACUUCAAAACGAAAGUUACCCCAACUUAACCAACUUGAAUUCACGACAGCCAAGAAACAAACUGGGAUUAGAUACCCCACUAUGCUUGGCAGUAAACCUUAAAUUACACCAAAAUCGCCUGGGAACUACGAGCCAAGCUUAAAACCCAAAGGACUUGACGGUACCCCAAAUCCACCUAGAGGAGCCUGUCCUAUAAUCGAUAACCCCCGCUUUACCUUACCACUUCUUGCUAACCAGCCUGUAUACCUCCGUCGUCAGCUUACCUCAUGAGCGAAACAUAGUGAGCUAAAUGCUAUUCCACCAACACGUCAGGUCAAGGUGCAGCUUAUGAAGUGGAAAGAGAUGGGCUACACUCCCUAAUCUAAGGCAUACAAAAAACUAUCUAUGAAAUCUAGUCUAAAGGCGGAUUUAGAAGUAAAAAGGAACCAAAGAGUUCUUUUUAACCUGGCACUGGGGUGUGUACACACCGCCCGUCACCCUCUUCAAAGUCUAAUUACAGUUUUUAACUCUAACAUAACACAACAGAAGAGGCAAGUCGUAACAUGGUAAGUAUACNNNNNNNNNNNNNNNNNNNNNNAAUAUAGCUUAAUUCUAAAGCACUCCGCUUACACCGGAUAAAUCUCUGUGAAACCCAGACUAUUGUGAGCUAAUCUUUUAGCCCUAAUUUAUCUUAUACCACCUCCAUAACCUCACCUACAAAUUAAAACAUUCUAACGACCUAGUAAAGGAGAUUGAAACCCCGUUUAGAGCUAUAAAAAGAGUACCGCAAGGGAAAAAUGAAAUAAAAAUGAAAUAAAUUUUAAGCAAAAAAUAGUAGAGAAUGACUCUCGUACCUUUCGCAUCAUGGUUUAACUAGUUCAACCAAGCAAAAAGACCUUCAGUUUGACCUCCCGAAACUAAACGAGCUACUUUAAGGCAGCUUAUUGAGCUAACCCGUCUCUGUUGAAAAAGAGUGGGAAGACCUUUAAGUAGAAGUGACAGACCUACCGAGUUUAGUAAUAGCUGGUUGCUUAAGAAGAGGACCUAAGUCCGCAAUAAAUUGACUUUUAUACAAAAAAAUUUUACCCUCAAUUUAAACUCAUUCAAGUAAGGUACAGCCUGCUUGAAAAAGGAUACAACCUCCUUAUAUGGGUAAUAUAUGCAAUUUCUAUAACUAAGUAGGCCUAAAAGCAGCCACCUUUAACAACAGCGUCAAAGCUUAAUUAUAAACAAGCCUAAUCACCUCCACCUCAUAAAACCCUACACCACUAUUAAGCAAUUCUAUAUUUACUAUAGAAAAUUUUAUGUUAAAACUAGUAAUAAGAAUUAACACUUCUCUUAAAUGCAAACACACAUCAGACUGAAUAAACCACUGAUAAAUAACACCCAUAACUUUAUAAUAGUAACUAAACAAGAAAACUCUAUUUCCCUUAAUGUUAACCUAACACAAGAGCAUUACAAGAAAGAUUAAAAGAAAAAGAAGGAACUCGGCAAACAUUAACCCCGCCUGUUUACCAAAAACAUCGCCUCUUGACCCACAUAAGAGGUCCAGCCUGCCCAGUGACAUUGUUCAACGGCCGCGGUAUCCUAACCGUGCGAAGGUAGCGUAAUCACUUGUCCUUUAAAUAAGGACUAGUAUGAAAGGCAUCACGAGAGUUAUACUGUCUCCUUUCUCUAAUCAAUGAAACUAAUCCCCCCGUGAAGAAGCGAGGAUAAAAAUAUAAGACGAGAAGACCCUAUGGAGCUUAAAAUAAAUAACACUUAUCAACUUUUAUUUAAAUUCCAGAAAAAUUUCCUACUUUGAUUCUAUGAUUAUUAAUUUUCGGUUGGGGUGACCACGGAACAAAAAAUAACUUCCGCAAUGAAUCUUUAUUUAAGGACUACAAUCCGAUAUAUCAACAAAUUAACAUUAAUUGAUCCAAGAUAUUGAUCAAUGAACCAAGUUACCCUAGGGAUAACAGCGCAAUCCACUUCAAGAGCUCCUAUCGACAAGUGGGUUUUCGACCUCGAUGU